This 253-nucleotide ribosomal RNA is filed under the name uncultured bacterium. Its description in RNAcentral is "partial 16S ribosomal RNA". It matches the Rfam family "Bacterial small subunit ribosomal RNA", at positions 524 to 776 of the family's 1533-position model. The record is from RNAcentral.
UACAGAGGGGGCAAGCGUUGUUCGGAAUUAAUGGGCGUAAAGGGCGCGUAGGCGGCCCGCUAAGUCGAACGUGAAAUCCCCGAGCUCAACUCGGGAACUGCGUCCGAUACUGGCGGGCUUGAAUCCGGGAGAGGGAUGCGGAAUUCCAGGUGUAGCGGUGAAAUGCGUAGAUAUCCGGAGGAACACCGGUGGCGAAGGCGGCUUCCUGGACCGACACUGACGCUGAGGCGCGAAAGCUAGGGGAGCGAAUGGG